Molecule: long non-coding RNA, 551 nt
Organism: Physeter macrocephalus (sperm whale)
Lineage: Eukaryota; Metazoa; Chordata; Mammalia; Artiodactyla; Physeteridae
Exons: 3
Source: RefSeq, a predicted model, not a curated record
AAACCAAGCUGACUGAUUUCCCUUAAGAAAGGAAGAAGGAACUUAUUUCAUAUAAUGAAAAACUUGCAAAACCAGUACAUUACAAGGAAUAUGAAACAGCAGCAUCCUCCGAAUUCUGUCAAAUUUGUUGUGAACUGAAAACACUGAUGAUUCAAUCCCAGGAGUGAAAAUAUGUUCUCUCGUCAAGCCUUCUAGGGAGCAGUAGUUUUCAGAUAAACGUAAGGUAAUGUGCUAUAUUCUGUCCUAGUGGCAGCUAUGCAUGCAUUAAAUGAAAAUGAUCACCCCAUUCUUGGAGCAGGUAAAGAGCUUGAAGAAGCUUUUCUAAAUUCCAGUCUUUGGUUUCCUUAUUUCCUCCAAAUAGCAAAAAAAAAUGACAGAAAGUUAUGAAUCCUGUGGCUUCUAAGGAUGAAGAGUUCCUAAAUAGACUAGAGAAAUUGGAAAAGAAAAGCCAGGCGGUACAAGAUUCUGGGGUGUCAUAAAACCAGUGGGCAUCCUUCACAUCUUGUGGGGUCAGUUCUACUCGUUUGGUGGAUUUAUCUGCAACCAUAACA